CUGCUUUCAGGGAAGUCCAAAAGGGCUCAGAAGGGGGAGGGGGAGCUGCUGUAUCUGCCUUAUGUUACCAGCCAGGUUCAGGUCUGUCCUGCUGGUGCACGGUAAAUCAAUUACUGUGACAUAAGUUUUGUAAAAGAAAGAAGAUUUAUUCACAAGACUGCUGAGAAAGGAGGUGGGAGAACAGCUCUCAAAAAUCCGCCUCUCUGAAGAAAACAUCUGACCCACAGCGGCCCCAGUUUGCUCAACCCACUUGGCUACACUAUGGAUAAAGUGUCUGCUCUUCCAGAGCAUCCUGCCUGCUGGAGACAGAACUCCGGCAUUUCCCUUUGAGCUAUGUACCAUAUGGAUAAGUAGAAAAAUACAGCUUUACUCAUUAUUUACAUAC
This is a long non-coding RNA of Symphalangus syndactylus (siamang), 385 nucleotides long. RefSeq lists it as uncharacterized. NCBI's taxonomy places the organism in Eukaryota, Metazoa, Chordata, Mammalia, Primates, Hylobatidae. The record is from RefSeq and is a predicted model, not a curated record.